GGCAUGCCUUACACAUGCAAGUCGAACGGCAGCACGGGGGCAACCUGGUGGCGAGUGGCGAACGGGUGAGUAAUACAUCGGAACGUGUCCUGUCGUGGGGGAUAACCAGUCGAAAGACUGGCUAAUACCGCAUGAGAUCGAGAGAUGAAAGCAGGGGACCGCAAGGCCUUGCGCGAUUGGAGCGGCCGAUGUCGGAUUAGCUUGUUGGCGGGGUAAAAGCCCACCAAGGCGACGAUCCGUAGCUGGUUUGAGAGAACGACCAGCCACACUGGGACUGAGACACGGCCCAGACUCCUACGGGAGGCAGCAGUGGGGAAUUUUGGACAAUGGGGGCAACCCUGAUCCAGCCAUGCCGCGUGUGUGAAGAAGGCCUUCGGGUUGUAAAGCACUUUCGGACGGAACGAAAUCGCGCGGGUGAAUAUCCCGCGUGGAUGACGGUACUGUAAGAAGAAGCACCGGCUAACUACGUGCCAGCAGCCGCGGUAAUACGUAGGGUGCGAGCGUUAAUCGGAAUUACUGGGCGUAAAGCGUGCGCAGGCGGCUUCGCAAGUCAGGCGUGAAAUCCCCGGGCUUAACCUGGGAAUGGCGUCUGAAACUACGGGGCUGGAGUGUGGCAGAGGGAGGUAGAAUUCCACGUGUAGCGGUGAAAUGCG
This 653-nucleotide ribosomal RNA is filed under the name uncultured bacterium. RNAcentral describes it as "bacterial SSU rRNA". It matches the Rfam family "Bacterial small subunit ribosomal RNA", at positions 41 to 690 of the family's 1533-position model. The record is from RNAcentral.